RNAcentral lists this transfer RNA (71 nucleotides) under Solirubrobacterales bacterium. RNAcentral's name for it is "tRNA-Gln". It matches the Rfam family "tRNA". Rfam says of the family: Transfer RNA (tRNA) molecules are approximately 80 nucleotides in length. Their secondary structure includes four short double-helical elements and three loops (D, anti-codon, and T loops). The record is from RNAcentral. RNAcentral also lists the same sequence under 2 other names. Lineage: Bacteria; Bacillati; Actinomycetota; Thermoleophilia; Solirubrobacterales.
UGGGGAAUAGUGUAAUGGUAGCACAAAUGACUCUGGAUCAUUUAGUUAAGGUUCGAAUCCUUAUUCCCCAG